GGCCUAGCCUUACUCUUACUGGCUGUAAUUUCAGUGUUGAAGUAAAAACAACGAAGUUUUGACUGAUAUUUAGGAGAAGAAUAAUUGAGAAGUUUUCAUUGCAUUGGGUCAGAAGAUAGAAUGGAAGAAAAGGAAAACUGCUAAGGAAAUAAAUACAGUAUUAAAGGAUGGAAAUGUUUAUACUGAGACGUUGUCACUGGCACUAAAGAGAAUAGGAUUAGAGAGCAAUGAAUAAAAAAUAUUUAUUAAGCACCUACUGUGGAAAUACUUGUUAAAUAUCUUCCAUCAACAGAUAAACAGAUGGACAAAAAGAUUUCUAUUUUAAAGGAUCAUGGCUAUAUAGAAAAUUUGACAUUUGGAUGGGAUGGACCAUCUUGGAGGCUACUCACAGCCCUUAAGUUGUUAUGUCUGGAAGCUGAGAAAUUUACAUGCUGGAAAAAAGUACUUCUUGGGGAGGUAAUUUCAGAUACGAAUGAGAAGACAAGUUUGGACAUAGCCCAGAAAAUAUGCUAUUAUUUCAUAGAAGAGACUAAUGCUGUGCUUCAAAAGGUGUCUCAUAUGAAGGAUGAAAAAGAGGCCCUGAUAAACCAACUAACGUUGGUGGAAUCCUUGUGGACGGAAGAGCUAAAGAUUCUCAGGGCAUCUGCCGAGACCCUGCACAGUUUGCAAACAGCUUUUACCUGAUUUCACCGAAGCGCAUUUGGUCACCUCCUCUG
RNAcentral lists this small RNA (716 nucleotides) under Pan troglodytes (chimpanzee). Its description in RNAcentral is "processed transcript". Lineage: Eukaryota; Metazoa; Chordata; Mammalia; Primates; Hominidae. The record is from RNAcentral.